This 432-nucleotide ribosomal RNA is filed under the name uncultured bacterium. RNAcentral's name for it is "partial 16S ribosomal RNA". It matches the Rfam family "Bacterial small subunit ribosomal RNA", at positions 29 to 507 of the family's 1533-position model. The record is from RNAcentral.
AACGAACGCUGGCGGCAUGCCUAACACAUGCAAGUCGAACGAGACCUUCGGGUCUAGUGGCGCACGGGUGCGUAACGCGUGGGAACCUGCACUUAGGUUCGGAAUAACUCCCCGAAAGGGGUGCUAAUACCGGAUCAUGUCUUCGGACCAAAGAUUUAUCGCCUUUGGAUGGGCCCGCGUUGGAUUAGCUAGUUGGUAGGGUAAAGGCUACCAAGGCGACGCUUCAUAGCUGGUCUGAGAGGAUGAUCAGCCACACCGGGACUGAGACACCGCCCAGACUCCUACGGGAGGCAGCAGUGGGGAAUAUUGGACAGUGGGCGAAAGCCUGAUCCAGCAAUGCCGCGUGAGUGAUGAAGGCCUUAGGGUUGUAAAGCUCUUUUACCCGGGAUGAUAAUGACAGUACCGGGAGAAUAAGCUCCGGCUAACUCCGUG